Molecule: ribosomal RNA, 245 nt
Filed under: uncultured bacterium
Lineage: Bacteria
Description: partial small subunit ribosomal RNA
Rfam family: Bacterial small subunit ribosomal RNA
Source: RNAcentral
AGAAUCAACGCUGGCGGCGUGCCUAACACAUGCAAGUCGCACGAGAAAGGGACUUCGGUCAUGAGUAAAGUGGCGCACGGGUGAGUAACACGUGACUAACCUACCCUUGAGUGGGGGAUAACCUAGAGAAAUCUGGGCUAAUACCGCAUAAUACCUUCGGGUCAAAGGAGCAAUUCGCUUAAGGAGGGGGUCGCGGCCGAUUAGUUAGUUGGCGGGGUAAUGGCCCACCAAGACUGUGAUCGGUA